Penaeus chinensis is the source of this 842-nucleotide long non-coding RNA. RefSeq lists it as uncharacterized. The transcript has 2 exons. Lineage: Eukaryota; Metazoa; Arthropoda; Malacostraca; Decapoda; Penaeidae. The record is from RefSeq and is a predicted model, not a curated record.
UUCAGUGGCAAACGAAACACGGUCGAAGUAAGAAGAGGCUAACUGCAGUCUAGUUCAAAGGCUUUGUUUUGGCCAUUCUGAUGAGUUCUACGGUUGUCACUUCAUCUGGAAGAUUUUAGGCUAUUGUUCUCUUCCAUGAGAGCGAAUCGUGCUGGCUGCAGUUGCUACGCCUGUCAUGGCAUGGCCUAUUGUGUAUUUCACGAGACAGACGACGGUACCGUCGGGAACAUGCUAUGGCAUUGGCUGAUUUUUUAAAAAUCUUUACAACGUUAACAUGUCUAUUUGUUCGCAUUAUAAAGAAACAAACCACUUUUGUUUUCUCAUUGUAUCUUAAUUUUUUUUUUCUCGUGGCUCAUUUAAAACCAAGAGUUACAACCUCAUGCGCUAGUGUUUGUAUGUCUCUGUUUAUAUAUUUCGCAUGCUUGUGUUGUAUGAGGACCAUUCCCAAAAUUGAUGUUCAAAACAUAUAAUACUUCAAACAUAAUAGGCAAAUUUCUGUUUCACUAAUAAGGGGUCGACUGAGACCAUUUAUAACACUACUUUGAUGAAAGUAGUGUGUAAAGAAGUAUCAAGGAAAACUUCACUACAGGGAAGCGAAUCAUUUUGAAGACAAAUGCACUUGCUCUGUCUUCAACUAUCUCCUGCGGGACUGAUGGACCGCUAAAGUGUUGAAAGGCUUCUAUCGUGAAUGCUUUGUUGACCUGUAAAUCCUAAUUUACUUCAGCCGAAUUUCCACUGUUCCCCAGACUACCAGUGGAGGGGACCCCCUAAAAUUAAGCCUGGUAUGUGAUAAAACGAAGUUAGAGUUUACUUAUAUAAAUAAAUAAAUUAUAUUAAUCAUA